UACGGAGGAUGCAAGCGUUAUCCGGAUUCAUUGGGUUUAAAGGGUGCGUAGGCGGACUAUUAAGUCAGUGGUGAAAGCCUGCAGCUUAACUGCAGAACUGCCAUUGAUACUGAUAGUCUUGAGUUUGGUUAAGGUAGGCGGAAUGUGUAAUGUAGCGGUGAAAUGCUUAGAUAUUACACAGAACACCAAUUGCGUAGGCAGCUUACUGAGACGACACUGACGCUGAGGCACGAAAGCGUGGGGAUCGAACA
This 251-nucleotide ribosomal RNA is filed under the name uncultured prokaryote. Its description in RNAcentral is "partial 16S ribosomal RNA". It matches the Rfam family "Bacterial small subunit ribosomal RNA", at positions 524 to 774 of the family's 1533-position model. The record is from RNAcentral.